This 207-nucleotide ribosomal RNA is filed under the name uncultured bacterium. Its description in RNAcentral is "partial 16S ribosomal RNA". It matches the Rfam family "Bacterial small subunit ribosomal RNA", at positions 568 to 774 of the family's 1533-position model. The record is from RNAcentral.
AGCGCAGGCGGACCGGCAAGUUGGAAGUGAAAUCCAUGGGCUCAACCCAUGAACUGCUUUCAAAACUGUUUUUCUUGAGUAGUGCAGAGGUAGGCGGAAUUCCCGGUGUAGCGGUGGAAUGCGUAGAUAUCGGGAGGAACACCAGUGGCGAAGGCGGCCUACUGGGCACCAACUGACGCUGAGGCUCGAAAGUGUGGGUAGCAAACA